GCUUACGGCCAUACCACCCUGAGCACGCCCGAUCUCGUCUGAUCUCGGAAGGUAAGCAGGGUCGGGCCUGGUUAGUACUUGAAUGGGAGACCGCCUGGGAAUACCAGGUGCUGUAAGCU
This 119-nucleotide ribosomal RNA is filed under the name Betta splendens (Siamese fighting fish). The record is from RNAcentral. Lineage: Eukaryota; Metazoa; Chordata; Actinopteri; Anabantiformes; Osphronemidae.